AGGUGGCAGAAGAGAGAAUGAGAAUGAAAACAUUAUUUUUAACUAGCGUCCAGGCCCACCUGUUGGGGAUCACUCCCAUCCAAAGCUUCACUCAGGUGCACAGGACCUCUUCAUGUCUUCCUGAUGCUGAGGAUCAGAUCUCAUGGCUCUAGGUUCCUGGGGACAGAUCUUCAGCUUGGAUUCCAGCAGAGAGGAUUCUUAGUAUUUUGAAAUGCUCCAGGUCAAGGUCCAAGCUUGACACAAGACAGGUGCAAGACAUCCAUCAGUCAGAUGAAGACAUGAGUGGAAGGAUCGAUGAAUGAAUGCUUCCAUCUGUAGCUGCCUUAGAAGGG
Ochotona princeps (American pika) is the source of this 332-nucleotide long non-coding RNA. RefSeq lists it as uncharacterized. The transcript is spliced from 3 exons. Lineage: Eukaryota; Metazoa; Chordata; Mammalia; Lagomorpha; Ochotonidae. The record is from RefSeq and is a predicted model, not a curated record.